AUGCAUUCGUCCGAUGGAUUGGUUUGCAGCGAUCGACCUGAAGGACGCGUACUUUCAUGUCUCCAUUCUUCCUCGACACAGACCGUUUCUUCGGUUUGCUUUCGAGGGGCAGGCAUAUCAGUACAAGGUUCUCCCAUUCGGGUUGGCCCUCUCUCCCCGCGUCUUUACGAAGGUUGCGGAGGGGGCCCUAGCUCCUCUCAGGGAACAGGGUGUCCGUAUCCUCAACUACCUCGACGACUGGCUGAUCCUAGCUCACUCUCGAGAGCGGUUGUGCGAGCACAGGGAUCUGGUGCUCAGACACCUCGCCCGACUGGGUCUUCAGGUCAACUGGGAAAAGAGCAAACUCUCCCCUGUGCAGAGGAUCUCUUUUCUCGGUAUGGAAAUAGACUCGGUCGCCAUGUUCGCGCAGCUUACAAACGAGCGCGCGCAGUCACUGCUGAGUUGCCUGAGACAAUUCGAGGGCAAGAGAGCGGUUCCACUGAAACUGUUUCAGAGGCUCCUGGGGCAUAUGGCGUCCGCGGCGGCAGUUAUACCGCUCGGGCUACUCCAUAUGAGACCGCUUCAGCACUGGCUUCACGACCGAGUCCCGAGAUGGGCAUGGCAACAGGGCACACUCCGAGUGACCAUCACUCCGGCCUGCCGUCGAUACUUCACCCCGUGGUUGGACCCCUCGUUUCUACGGGCCGGCGUGCCCCUAGAACCGGUGUCCAGACAUGUUGUUGUGUCAACAGAUGCCUCUGCCACGGGCUGGGGUGCCAUGUGCAAUGGGCAUGCUGCGUCAGGCUCCUGGCCAGGACCCCGACUUCAGUGGCAUGUCAAUUGCCUCGAGUUGCUAGCAGUACGUCUUGCUCUGCACCGCUUCAGGGCCCUGCUGAAGGACAAGCACGUUCUGGUCCGUACGGACAACACUGCGACCGUAGCGUACAUCAACCAUCAGGGUGGUCUACGCUCCCGCCGAAUGUCGCAACUCGCUCGCCAUCUCCUCCUGUGGAGUCACAAGCAUCUGAGGUCGCUUCGUGCCAUUCACAUUCCAGGCAGGCUCAAUCGUGCAGCCGACGAGCUCUCACGACAGCAGUCUCGCCCCGGGGAAUGGAGACUCCACCCCCAGUCGGUUCAGCUGAUUUGGGAACACUUCGGAGACGCCCAGGUAGACCUGUUUGCCUCUCCAGAAAAUUCCCACUGCCAGUUGUUUUACUCCCUGACCGAGGGCACCCUCGGCACGGACGCCCUGGCACACAGCUGGCCGCUGGGCCUGCGCAAGUAUGCGUUUCCCCCAGUGAGCCUUCUUGCACAGACGUUGUGCAAGAUCAGGGAGGACGAGGAGCAGGUCCUCAUGGUUGCGCCUUUUUGGCCCAGCCGGACCUGGUUCCCCGAACUUGUACUCCUCGCGACAGCCCCUCCCUGGCCAAUUACUCUGAGAAGGGACCUUCUUUCUCAGAGACGGGGCACCCUCUGGCACCCACGUCCCGAUCUAUGGAACCUACAUGUGUGGGUUCUGGACGGGUCACGGAAGGUUUAGGUACCUUGCCACCACAGGUGGUAGCUACCAUCACUUCAGCUAGAGCCGUGUCCACCAGACAUGCCUAUGCUUUGAAGUGGAACCUCUUCGUCACUUGGUGUUCUUCACGGCGUGAGGACCCCUGGAAGUGCCCGAUUGGGUCAGUGCUUUCCUUUCUUCAGGAGGGGUUGGAACGAAGGCUGUCUCCUUCCACCCUCAAGGUCUAUGUGGCUGCCAUUUCGGCUCACCAUGACCCUGUUGAAGGUAAGUCUCUUGGAAGGCACGAUCUGAUCAUCAGGUUCCUGAGAGGAGCAAGGAGGCUCAAUCCGCCUCGCCCUCAGCAAGUCCCCUCUUGGGACCUCGCAGUGGUUCUAUCAGCACUGCAGAGAGCUCCCUUCGAACCCUUGCUCUCAGUAGAGCUAAAGUUUUUAUCUUUGAAAACUGCGCUCCUGACGGCUUUGGCUUCGGUGAAGAGGGUCGGGGACCUGCAGGCAUUUUCAGUUGACGAAGCGUGCCUGGAAUUCGGGCCGGCUAACUCUCACGUUAUCUUGAGACCCCGGCCUGGGUACGUGCCCAAAGUUCCCACCACUCCUUUUAGGGAUCAGGUGGUGAACUUGCAAGCGCUGCCCCUGGAGGAGGCAGACCCAGCCCUGGCGCUGCUCUGUCCAGUACGUGCGCUCCGCACCUACGUGGACAGAACUCGGUGCCUUAGGACCUCAGACCAGCUCUUUGUCUGUUACGGAGGCCAGCAGAAGGGAAAGGCUGUCUCCAAGCAGAGGUUAUCCCACUGGAUAGUGGAUGCUAUUGUCCUGGCUUAUCAGGCUCGAGACCUGCCAUGCCCCCUAGGGGUGAGAGCUCACUCAACUAGGAGCGUAGCUGCCUCCUGGGCGCUGGCGCAUGGCGCCUCGCUAGCAGACAUCUGUAGAGCUGCGGGCUGGGCGACACCUAACACAUUCGCAAGAUUUUAUAAUCUCCGUGUAGAGCCCGUGUCCUCCCGGAUACUCGCCCCUUCGGGCCAGUAA
Carassius auratus (goldfish) is the source of this 2520-nucleotide long non-coding RNA. Lineage: Eukaryota; Metazoa; Chordata; Actinopteri; Cypriniformes; Cyprinidae. The record is from Ensembl.